AUCAGAGUGGCGCAGCGGAAGCGUGGUGGGCCUAUAACCCACAGGUCCCUGGAUCGAAACCAGGCUCUGAUA
Molecule: transfer RNA, 72 nt
Filed under: Cicer arietinum (chickpea)
Lineage: Eukaryota; Viridiplantae; Streptophyta; Magnoliopsida; Fabales; Fabaceae
Rfam family: tRNA
About the family: Transfer RNA (tRNA) molecules are approximately 80 nucleotides in length.
Source: Rfam by way of RNAcentral